Molecule: ribosomal RNA, 292 nt
Filed under: uncultured bacterium
Lineage: Bacteria
Description: partial 16S ribosomal RNA
Rfam family: Bacterial small subunit ribosomal RNA
Source: RNAcentral
GUGUCAGCCGCCGCGGUAAUACGGAGGGUGCAAGCGUUAUCCGGAUUCACUGGGUUUAAAGGGUGCGUAGGUGGGUCUGUAAGUCCGUGGUGAAAUCUCUAGGCUUAACCUGGAAACUGCCAUGGAUACUAUAGGUCUUGAAUACUGUGGAGGUCAGCGGAAUAUGUCAUGUAGCGGUGAAAUGCUUAGAUAUGACAUAGAACACCAAUUGCGAAGGCAGCUGGCUACACAAAUAUUGACACUGAGGCACGAAAGCGUGGGGAUCAAACAGGAUUAGAUACCCUGGUAGUCC